RNAcentral lists this ribosomal RNA (566 nucleotides) under Purpureocillium lilacinum. Its description in RNAcentral is "eukaryotic LSU rRNA". It matches the Rfam family "Eukaryotic large subunit ribosomal RNA", at positions 57 to 647 of the family's 3401-position model. The record is from RNAcentral. Lineage: Eukaryota; Fungi; Ascomycota; Sordariomycetes; Hypocreales; Ophiocordycipitaceae.
AAAAGAAACCAACAGGGAUUGCCCCAGUAACGGCGAGUGAAGCGGCAACAGCUCAAAUUUGAAAUCUGGCCCCCAGGGCCCGAGUUGUAAUUUGCAGAGGAUGCUUUUGGCGCGGUGCCUUCCGAGUUCCCUGGAACGGGACGCCAUAGAGGGUGAGAGCCCCGUCUGGUCGGACGCCUAGCCUGUGUAAAGCUCCUUCGACGAGUCGAGUAGUUUGGGAAUGCUGCUCUAAAUGGGAGGUAUAUGUCUUCUAAAGCUAAAUACCGGCCAGAGACCGAUAGCGCACAAGUAGAGUGAUCGAAAGAUGAAAAGCACUUUGAAAAGAGGGUUAAAUAGUACGUGAAAUUGUUGAAAGGGAAGCGCUUGUGACCAGACUUGGGCCCGGUGGAUCAUCCAGCGUUCUCGCUGGUGCACUCCGCCGGGUUCAGGCCAGCAUCAGUUCGCCGCGGGGGAAAAAGGCUUCGGGAACGUGGCUCCUACGGGAGUGUUAUAGCCCGUUGCAUAAUACCCUGGGGCGGACUGAGGUUCGCGCUCCGCAAGGAUGCUGGCGUAAUGGUCAUCAGCGC